CUAUAUGGUGGCUGUGUUCGGGACGCCUUCGGGCGUACCGGCAAAGUGAGUUCUCACCGGUUUGACCAACCCGAACACAGUCCGCCUCCCAU
RNAcentral lists this non-coding RNA (92 nucleotides) under Pseudomonas lini. The record is from RNAcentral. Lineage: Bacteria; Pseudomonadati; Pseudomonadota; Gammaproteobacteria; Pseudomonadales; Pseudomonadaceae.